This 500-nucleotide ribosomal RNA is filed under the name uncultured Glomeromycotina. RNAcentral describes it as "partial small subunit ribosomal RNA". It matches the Rfam family "Eukaryotic small subunit ribosomal RNA", at positions 591 to 1092 of the family's 1831-position model. The record is from RNAcentral. Lineage: Eukaryota; Fungi; Glomeromycota.
CCAAUAGCGUAUAUUAAAGUUGUUGCAGUUAAAAAGCUCGUAGUUGAAUUUCGGGGUUAGUAGGUUGGUCGUGCCACCGGUAUGUACUGGCUUUACUGAUCCCUCCUUCUUGUAGAACCGUAAUGCCAUUAACUUGGUGUUGCGGGGAAACAGGACUGUUCCUUUGAAAAAAUUAGAGUGUUUAAAGCAGGCUAACGCUUGAAUACAUUAGCAUGGAAUAAUGAAAUAGGACGAUCGAUCCUAUUUUGUUGGUUUCUAGGAUUGACGUAAUGAUUAAUAGGGAUAGUUGGGGGCAUUAGUAUUCAAUUGUCAGAGGUGAAAUUCUUGGAUUUAUUGAAGACUAACUACUGCGAAAGCAUUUGCCAAGGAUGUUUUCAUUAAUCAAGAACGAAAGUUAGGGGAUCGAAGACGAUCAGAUACCGUCGUAGUCUUAACCAUAAACUAUGCCGACUAGGGAUCGGAUGAUGUUAAUUUUUUAAUGACUCAUUCGGCGCCUUACG